This 325-nucleotide ribosomal RNA is filed under the name uncultured eukaryote. Its description in RNAcentral is "partial 18S ribosomal RNA". It matches the Rfam family "Eukaryotic small subunit ribosomal RNA", at positions 1470 to 1796 of the family's 1831-position model. The record is from RNAcentral.
CCCUUAGAUGUUCUGGGCCGCACGCGCGCUACACUGAUGCAUUCAACGAGCCUAUCCUUGACCGACAGGUCCGGGUAAUCUUUGAAUCUGCAUCGUGACGGGGAUAGAUUAUUGCAAUUAUUAAUCUUCAACGAGGAAUGCCUAGUAGGCGCAAGUCAUCAGCUUGCGUCGAUUACGUCCCUGCCCUUUGUACACACCGCCCGUCGCUCCUACCGAUUGGGUGGGCUGGUGAAAUGUUCGGAUCGGCCGUUUGUCGCGGUUUCCGCGGCUCGUGGCUGAGAAGUUCAUUAAACCCUCCCACCUAGAGGAAGGAGAAGUCGUAACA